Molecule: long non-coding RNA, 330 nt
Organism: Cotesia glomerata
Lineage: Eukaryota; Metazoa; Arthropoda; Insecta; Hymenoptera; Braconidae
Exons: 3
Source: RefSeq, a predicted model, not a curated record
UAAUUAUUGAAAUGUAUCAUUAACUUUUAUAUUAAUACAUUAGCCAUGAAAUAUAAUGGAGUAAUGGUAAUUUUCACCAUAAACAAACACAAAAUUAAAUUUUUUUAAAAACCUUGCGAAUAGGCUUUAUUUUACUACGGUAGGGUAAUAAGGCUUGCGGGUUAAACAUACUGGAAAUACUAAAUAGUUAUACUAUACUUAAUAAAAUUGGUAUUAGAGAUCAAUCAUCACUUAAAUUUAGCAACAAUACUUUUUAAGAUGUUGAUAAGAAUUAGAACAAUGAUUUUAAAUUAUUAAAUAUAAAACUAUAAAAAAUGUUUACCACUUACU